AAGUAAAAGUCGUAACAAGGUUUCCGUAGGUGAACCUGCGGAAGGAUCAUUACCGAGUUGAUUCGAGCUCCGGCUCGACUCUCCCACCCUUUGUGUACCUACCUCUGUUGCUUUGGCGGGCCCGCGGUUCGGCCUCGUGCCGUCCAGCACCCGCCAGAGGACCACAAAACUCCAGUCAGUGAACGUCUCAGUCUGAAAAACAAGUUAAUAAACUAAAACUUUCAACAACGGAUCUCUUGGUUCUGGCAUCGAUGAAGAACGCAGCGAAAUGCGAUAAGUAAUGUGAAUUGCAGAAUUCAGUGAAUCAUCGAAUCUUUGAACGCACAUUGCGCCCCUUGGUAUUCCGGGGGGCAUGCCUGUUCGAGCGUCAUUUCAACCCUCAAGCUCUGCUUGGUAUUGGGCUCCGUCCUCAGGGACGCGCCUCAAAGACCUCGGCGGUGGCGUCUUGCCUCAAGCGUAGUAGAAAACACCUCGCUUUGGAGCGCACGGCGUCGCCCGCCGGACGAACCUUUGAAUUUUUCUCAAGGUUGACCUCGGAUCAGGUAGGGAUACCCGCUGAACUUAAGCAUAUCAAUAAGCG
This 580-nucleotide ribosomal RNA is filed under the name Dothiorella iberica. Its description in RNAcentral is "eukaryotic LSU rRNA". The stretch from base 217 to 370 matches the Rfam family "5.8S ribosomal RNA". Lineage: Eukaryota; Fungi; Ascomycota; Dothideomycetes; Botryosphaeriales; Botryosphaeriaceae. The record is from RNAcentral.